GUCCACGCUGUAAACGAUGAGCACUAGGUGUGGGGGUUCAGUCCCUUCCGUGCCGCAGCUAACGCAUUAAGUGCUCCGCCUGGGGAGUACGGCCGCAAGGUUGAAACUCAAAGGAAUUGACGGGGCCCGCACAAGCGGUGGAGCAUGUGGUUCAAUUCGAUGCAGAGCGAAGAACCUUACCUGGGCUUGACAUGCAGGAAGUAGAAACCGGAAACGGCAACGACCUGUUAAGUCAGGAACCUGCACAGGUGGUGCAUGGCUGUCGU
Molecule: ribosomal RNA, 266 nt
Filed under: uncultured bacterium
Lineage: Bacteria
Description: partial 16S ribosomal RNA
Rfam family: Bacterial small subunit ribosomal RNA
Source: RNAcentral